Molecule: long non-coding RNA, 339 nt
Organism: Hermetia illucens (black soldier fly)
Lineage: Eukaryota; Metazoa; Arthropoda; Insecta; Diptera; Stratiomyidae
Exons: 2
Source: RefSeq, a predicted model, not a curated record
AGGAGAAAAUAAACGAACUUUCUUUCAAAAUAUAUAUUUAUUUCAGUCAAUAAGAAUUCAUUGGAACACUUCAAUUCUAAAAAAAUCUGGUGUUAAUGCCGAAUUUCAUAGAAUUUCUUAAAUUAAUAAUCAGUAGAUGGAAUUUUAUUGCUUAUUAUUUACAAAAGUGAUCUAAAAUGCAGUCAGUCUACUUAAUCGAAGCAAAACUUCUCUAUGUUCAAUGUGCCUUUUGGAAAAAGUCUUAAAACGUGUCCAUUCUUCACCCAAUCAAUUAUAACCGACUUCGGUGGCAAAUGUGGAAUCAUAGAACUGAAAAUAAAUUUCAAUAACAAAUACUAA